This 502-nucleotide ribosomal RNA is filed under the name uncultured bacterium. RNAcentral describes it as "bacterial SSU rRNA". It matches the Rfam family "Bacterial small subunit ribosomal RNA", at positions 28 to 526 of the family's 1533-position model. The record is from RNAcentral.
GACGAACGCUGGCGGCGCGCCUAACACAUGCAAGUCGAACGGAGCGCACAGUGUGAAGCCCUUCGGGGUGGAACUUUGUGUUGCUUAGUGGCGAACGGGUGAGUAACACGUGAGCAACCUACCCUAAAGUGGGGGACAACAUCUGGAAACGGAUGCUAAUACCGCAUAAGACCACGGAACCACAUGGUUCUGAGGCCAAAGGAUUUAUUCGCUUUAGGAUGGGCUCGCGCCUGAUUAGCUAGAUGGUGGGGUAAUGGCUCACCAUGGCAACGAUCAGUAGCCGGACUGAGAGGUCGAUCGGCCACAUUGGGACUGAGACACGGCCCAGACUCCUACGGGAGGCAGCAGUGGGGAAUAUUGGGCAAUGGGCGAAAGCCUGACCCAGCGACGCCGCGUGAGGGAAGAAGGUUUUCGGAUUGUAAACCUCUGUCUUCGGGGAAGAUAAUGACGGUACCCGAGGAGGAAGCCACGGCUAACUACGUGCCAGCCGCCGCCGUAACAC